AACAAAUUUCGUUGUAGAAGGGUCUAAAAACAGCACAAACAACAUUUUCCAAAAGACCAAAAAGUGAAAAAGUAUAUUUAAACAAAACGCAUUUGACUAAACAGGUCGAACAACUGAUGUUCUUUAACCCUGCUGACUGCCAUUGGCGAUUGCCAAAUAAAAUUGAUCACAAGAUGUAACAAAAUGGAUCUUAAUAUAAAUUUAAUACUAAACAGAAAAAAAAAUUAACUUGUGGCCACG
RNAcentral lists this long non-coding RNA (240 nucleotides) under Mytilus galloprovincialis (Mediterranean mussel). Lineage: Eukaryota; Metazoa; Mollusca; Bivalvia; Mytilida; Mytilidae. The record is from RNAcentral.